Molecule: non-coding RNA, 29 nt
Filed under: Cricetulus griseus (Chinese hamster)
Lineage: Eukaryota; Metazoa; Chordata; Mammalia; Rodentia; Cricetidae
Source: RNAcentral
ACACCGAAGAACUUUUCCUGGAGCUUGCU